AGCGAACGCUGGCGGCAGGCCUAACACAUGCAAGUCGAACGAACUCUUCGGAGUUAGUGGCGGACGGGUGAGUAACACGUGGGAACGUGCCUUUAGGUUCGGAAUAACUCAGGGAAACUUGUGCUAAUACCGAAUGUGCCCCCCGAUUCAUUUUGGGGUGGGAAAGAUUUAUCGCCUUUAGAGCGGCCCGCGUCUGAUUAGCUAGUUGGUGAGGUAAAGGCUCACCAAGGCGACGAUCAGUAGCUGGUCUGAGAGGAUGAUCAGCCACAUUGGGACUGAGACACGGCCCAAACUCCUACGGGAGGCAGCAGUGGGGAAUCUUGCGCAAUGGGCGAAAGCCUGUCGCAGCCAUGUCGCGUGAAUGAUGAAGGCCUUAGGAUUGUAAAAU
RNAcentral lists this ribosomal RNA (388 nucleotides) under uncultured Caulobacteraceae bacterium. Its description in RNAcentral is "bacterial SSU rRNA". It matches the Rfam family "Bacterial small subunit ribosomal RNA", at positions 29 to 431 of the family's 1533-position model. Lineage: Bacteria; Pseudomonadati; Pseudomonadota; Alphaproteobacteria; Caulobacterales; Caulobacteraceae. The record is from RNAcentral.